Molecule: long non-coding RNA, 1218 nt
Organism: Pyrus x bretschneideri (Chinese white pear)
Lineage: Eukaryota; Viridiplantae; Streptophyta; Magnoliopsida; Rosales; Rosaceae
Exons: 2
Source: RefSeq, a predicted model, not a curated record
GGCAGCCCCCUAACUCCUCUCUAUCUCUCUCUCCCCGGAUCUCAUUCUCUCUCUCAGCUCUCUAACCCUCACACCUUCCUCUCUCGCACACCAUUCCCGUUCGACACACGCACGCCGAGGAACACCACCACCCCGACGUCGACAACACCACCACCUUCACCAUCGUGUACUCUCCCUCUCACUCUCCCUCGUCUUCGUGAAGCACAGGACACCCGGAGCUCACUCAAAAACCCAGGUGCACCCUAAGGCUUUCGAGCCCAGAUCCUGGCCAUUUACGACCCUCCCACUUUGAAUCAAAGGUGCAAUUACUAGCGGCUAUUCUGUUAUUCCUAUUUCGUACUGCUCAUCUACGACGGAGUAUUUGUGAGUGGACUCCUUCUAAAAAUGUAUAUUUUAUUGCUAGAUAUGCAUACAUGAAAAUCAUGAUUUAAUGAUAACGUUUUAUGAGAAAUUGAUUAUCAUGCUAUACUAAGCUUAUUUUGGAAUACCAUAUUUUCUAUCAAACCCAUGUUCUAGUAGAAUAUCUGAUGAAUGACAAUACAAUACUUAGAACAUGUUUUCAUACAUUUCUUUAUAGUAUAGAUGAUGGAUGAUUUUAUACUAUGAAGUUGCUUUUGAGAUAUAUGUACCUAUGUUUGGAAAGAUUAUGUUCAAUGGUUUUGUACUUACCUAGUGGUCCUUAUUCCGCCUGUGGGCAAGGUUUACGUGUUGGCAUAGGGCCUGAAGCAAAUUCCUCUGGCUACGGCGCAGGGACAGGAAGCAGGCAUAGGGCCUAGAGUUGAGAAUGGACACAUACACUAGUGAUUACACUUUUAUGAGAUGGCUUUUUGUGGUGUUUUAUGGCAUGCUGGGGUUUUCAAAAAUCUAUCACAUAUUAUGCUAUUAGUUUUCAUAGAACUUUGGGGGUUGGUAUGUUGAUAACUGUUUCAAUAUUAUAUAUAUAUCAACUUGGUCCGCUCAUAUUUGUUUUGUGCCUCCAGCAAGACAUAGGAACGUGGACUACGAUUCGACGUACAAGGAAUCCAUACCAGUGACAUCGUGCUAGAUCCUCUUUCUUUGGCCUCUAUUGUAAUAGCACUCUCUAUCUUACCUUCUGUUGUAAUCUGAUUUAGAAUAUGCUAUGAACAUGUCAUGCAUCUUUACGAAUUUAUUGUUGACAGUCGAAUAUUAUUUUAAGUAUAUUAGUAUUCGUAUGAAAUUUAUAUGUAUGAUUUCACA